CCUACGGGAGGCAGCAGUGAGGAAUAUUGGUCAAUGGACGCAAGUCUGAACCAGCCAUGCCGCGUGCAGGAAGACGGCUCUAUGAGUUGUAAACUGCUUUUGUACGAGGGUAAACGCAGAUACGCGUAUCUGUCUGAAAGUAUCGUACGAAUAAGGAUCGGCUAACUCCGUGCCAGCAGCCGCGGGAAUAAGGAGGAUUCAAGCGUUAUCCGGAUUUAUUGGGUUUAAAGGGUGCGUAGGCGGUCGGAUAAGUUAGAGGUGAAAUCCCGAGGCUCAACUUCGGAAUUGCCUCUGAUACUGUCCGGCUAGAGAGUAGUUGCGGUAGGCGGAAUGUAUGGUGUAGCGGUGAAAUGCUUAGAGAGCAUACAGAACACCGAUUGCGAAGGCAGCUUACCAAGCUACUUCUGACGUUGAGGCACGAAAGCGUGGGGAGCAAACAGGAUUAGAUACCCCAGUAGUC
RNAcentral lists this ribosomal RNA (460 nucleotides) under uncultured bacterium. RNAcentral's name for it is "partial 16S ribosomal RNA". It matches the Rfam family "Bacterial small subunit ribosomal RNA", at positions 338 to 795 of the family's 1533-position model. The record is from RNAcentral.